Molecule: ribosomal RNA, 460 nt
Filed under: uncultured bacterium
Lineage: Bacteria
Description: partial 16S ribosomal RNA
Rfam family: Bacterial small subunit ribosomal RNA
Source: RNAcentral
CCUACGGGAGGCUGCAGUGAGGAAUAUUGGUCAAUGGCCGGAAGGCUGAACCAGCCAUGCCGCGUGAAUGUCAGUGCCCUAUGGGCGGUAAACUUCUUUUGUCCGGGAGCAAGGAUGGUCACGUGUUGCCAGACGAGAGUACCGUACGAAGCAGCAUCGGCUAACUCCGUGCCAGGAGCCGCGGCAAUACGGGUGGUGCAAGCGUUAGCCGGAUUUAUUGGGUUUAAAGGUGGCGUAGGCUGGGAGGUAAGUCAGCGUUGAAAUGCCCCCGCUCAACGGGGGGAAGUGCCUUUGAUACUGGCUUGCUGGAGUGCGGAUGCGGUGGGUGGAAUGCGAGGUGUAGCGGUGAAAUGCGUAGAUAUCUCGAAGAACACCGGUUGCGAAGGCAUCCCCCGAAUCAGCGAUUGACGCUGAUGCACGAAAGCGUGGGUAUCAAACAGGAUUAGAUACCCUUGUAGUC